AUACAGAGGGUGCGAGCGUUAAUCGGAAUUACUGGGCGUAAAGCGCGCGUAGGCGGCUUGGUCAGUCGGAUGUGAAAGCCCCGGGCUCAACCUGGGAAUGGCAUUCGAUACUGCCAGGCUAGAGUAUGGGAGAGGGAAGUGGAAUUUCCGGUGUAGCGGUGAAAUGCGUAGAUAUCGGAAGGAACACCAGUGGCGAAGGCGACUUCCUGGCCCAAUACUGACGCUGAGGUGCGAAAGCGUGGGGAGCGAACAGCAUUAGAUACCCUAGUAGUCC
This 274-nucleotide ribosomal RNA is filed under the name uncultured bacterium. Its description in RNAcentral is "partial 16S ribosomal RNA". It matches the Rfam family "Bacterial small subunit ribosomal RNA", at positions 523 to 796 of the family's 1533-position model. The record is from RNAcentral.